UGGAAAGCGUCCGGCAGUCCUCCUGAG
This 27-nucleotide non-coding RNA is filed under the name Mus musculus (house mouse). The record is from RNAcentral. Lineage: Eukaryota; Metazoa; Chordata; Mammalia; Rodentia; Muridae.